Culex quinquefasciatus (southern house mosquito) is the source of this 147-nucleotide long non-coding RNA. RefSeq lists it as uncharacterized. The record is from RefSeq and is a predicted model, not a curated record. The transcript is spliced from 2 exons. Lineage: Eukaryota; Metazoa; Arthropoda; Insecta; Diptera; Culicidae.
AUACGAAAAGGGAAAGUAAAACACGAAAAGUACCGCGUAAACAAGCUCGGGUUCCACUGUCCAAAUUGACCGUUGGUUUUAUCCAGAUUACCCGGAUGAAUACCAAUCAGAAACAACAAACGACACUAACGACAGUUUACACUUUGA